GCAGUUGUGGCGGAAUUGGCAUACGCGCAUGAUUCAGGUUCAUGUCCGGGUUAACUGGGUGUGGGUUCAAGUCCCAUCAACUGCAUCA
RNAcentral lists this transfer RNA (88 nucleotides) under Eubacterium sp. CAG:161. Its description in RNAcentral is "transfer RNA-Leu(CAG)". It matches the Rfam family "tRNA". From Rfam's summary of the family: Transfer RNA (tRNA) molecules are approximately 80 nucleotides in length. Their secondary structure includes four short double-helical elements and three loops (D, anti-codon, and T loops). RNAcentral also lists the same sequence under 2 other names. Lineage: Bacteria; Bacillati; Bacillota; Clostridia; Eubacteriales; Eubacteriaceae. The record is from RNAcentral.